This is a non-coding RNA of Picea glauca (white spruce), 74 nucleotides long. Lineage: Eukaryota; Viridiplantae; Streptophyta; Pinopsida; Pinales; Pinaceae. The record is from Rfam.
GUGGAUGUAGCCAAAUGGACCAAGGUAGUGGAUUGUGAAUCCACCACACUUGGGUUCAAUCCCCCUCAUUCACC